RNAcentral lists this transfer RNA (67 nucleotides) under Lucilia sericata (common green bottle fly). Its description in RNAcentral is "tRNA-Phe". The record is from RNAcentral. Lineage: Eukaryota; Metazoa; Arthropoda; Insecta; Diptera; Calliphoridae.
AUUCAAAUAGCUUAUAUUUAGAGUAUGACACUGAAGAUGUUAGGGAUAUUGAUUUAAUCUUUGAAUA